Molecule: non-coding RNA, 1739 nt
Organism: Chlorocebus sabaeus (green monkey)
Lineage: Eukaryota; Metazoa; Chordata; Mammalia; Primates; Cercopithecidae
Source: RefSeq, a predicted model, not a curated record
CAAGAACAGGGCUUGAUAUUUUACUUAAGAAAAAAAACUCAAAUGAUCAAGGUUUGAACUGUGAUUAUCAUUAUGCAGCCAUAUUUCUAGAACAAGCUGCUUUUACCAUCUUGAGAUUUCAAUGACCUUUUGAAAGAAAGCAUCUUCUCCAGUACAAGUUGUAACUUUUAUUUAUGGGAAAUUUUAAAAAGACUGUCACAUCCUUAGUCUGAUAAAUAGGUUGUGUGUGGCUUUAAAGGAAAUAAGAAAAAGCCUGCCAACAACCAGUGGGAUGUAAAAUAUAGACUGUUAAAAAAAGCAUGUCUCAAACCUUCACAAUGGUAAACACUUGGAAACCAAUGAACAACCCUUAGAUUGUAUUCUGACUGAUAGGUGUGAUUAAGGAAAAGAUGAAAGCUGAUGCUAUUCUACAAUACAGUUGUAGUAAAUUCUUAUAAUUUUAUGUUGUCUUGGCAUCCCUUUUAAAUGUAGGUUUAACUUUCUCAUACCAAAAGCAGGGCUCAGUCACCCUUGAUGCAAUUUCCGGUGCUAUACCACACCCAAAUGGCUCAAGCUGGUGGCCAGAGAUAAGAACUCAGAAGCAUCUCUGCCACCUGCCUGACUGGACUCCUCGUGUUCCCAGCGUGCCCUUUAAGUGGGCCAUUCAGGCAUUUACCUGGGAAUUUAAAGUGACACACACCCUGUUCCCUUGUACAAACUACUAGCUGCCAUGCAUUCUCCAUCUCUGCCUGACUUUUCAAUCCUUCCUUGCAUAACCCAGGGAUGAAGCACUUCUCCGCAUCGCACCCUGACUCAUUAUGCUGUCCUUGCCCAGGAUCUGAAUACUUUUUUGAUUAUUUAGUCUGGUAACUAUCAGCAUAUCAAAGAAGAUGUGAAAAGAAGCACUUUGAAGCUACAAGAACUCCACUGCAGCCUAGGCAGAGUGCAAAGAUACUUCGCUGUGGGAUGGAAAACAAUUCAAGGCUAAUUAUCAGAGUCCUCUUCAACACUGCAGUAUAUCCAGAAAUUACCCAGGGAACACGUAGACGGAUGCCAAGGGGGAGCUGAAUAUUCAGGGAACCCUGAAGAGAAUAUUUGAAUUGUUAUAUCCAGUUGUUCAUCUACUUGUUUUAUACAAUUGCAUGAGCAAUCACUUGCAGGUGAGCUACUCAUGCAGCACAAUGUGGGAGGCGACAGAGUGGCAUGAGUGGGGCAAUUACCUUCUCUCCUGGAGACUUUUAUGGUGUAGAUUUCUUGUGCCCCUAAUCAGAACAUUGCAAACCCUAGGGAAGCAUUGGGGACAGACCCUUAGCAAAAUGUCCCGUUAUUUUCAGCAAGGCAGUGAACUAAUGGGGGCAAGGGGAGCAGAGGGAGCAUUCUGUUCCAGGGCAAUCAAAGGAGGCUUUGUCUGCAGGGAAUUUAAAAAUAAAUUCCAAAAGCUCAGUUGGUUUAUCUGGUACCAGCAAUUCUAAACAAUGUCAGUGAUUAAAGACUCUUUUGACAGGCAGAGGACUCGAUUUCUUCCCACCCCUAUUCUCUCAGUCCCUCACUGUCAGCCACUGCUGUGCUGCUGUGAAGAUAUUCAAUGCUGUGUUACCCUUGUCUUCUUUGGAUUUACCUGAGCCUGUGCUGCCCUGGGCUGUGGUUUCUAACCAGAAAUUACUGUAGGUAGCAUAGGUAGAAUUGAGUGUGUAUAGGCCAGGCAUGGUGGCUCACGUCUGUAAUCCCAGCACUUUGGGAGGCCGAGGUGGGCAGAUCAC